RNAcentral lists this ribosomal RNA (309 nucleotides) under Triticum aestivum (bread wheat). RNAcentral describes it as "partial small subunit ribosomal RNA". Lineage: Eukaryota; Viridiplantae; Streptophyta; Magnoliopsida; Poales; Poaceae. The record is from RNAcentral.
AUGGUUUCAGCAAAAAUCUCAUCGGCAGAAAACUCCAACAAUCUAUUUGUAGCAAAUAAAUUAGCUAGUUUCGGCAAAAAGAAACACUGGUUCUUGCAAAAUCAAAUCUCAGCAGCAAACAAAAGCGCCAGUGCCGAUCGCAGUUGUCCCCGUCGUCCACCGUUGAAGCUUCCUGGUGCACAACGGGGAGGAGGGGAGGAGUAUGGCCUUGCCUAUGGACCCCUGCCAUGGCUGAAGAAAAGGUUGGGGGCGGACGGCACCACAACAACGGAGGAGAUAGGGGAACAGGGGGAGCAGUUUCCAAUCUAA